AGUGAACGCUGGCGGUAGGCCUAACACAUGCAAGUCGAACGGCAGCACAGUAAGAGCUUGCUCUUACGGGUGGCGAGUGGCGGACGGGUGAGGAAUACAUCGGAAUCUACUUUUUCGUGGGGGAUAACGUAGGGAAACUUACGCUAAUACCGCAUACGACCUACGGGUGAAAGCAGGGGAUCUUCGGACCUUGCGCGAUUGAAUGAGCCGAUGUCGGAUUAGCUAGUUGGCGGGGUAAAGGCCCACCAAGGCGACGAUCCGUAGCUGGUCUGAGAGGAUGAUCAGCGACACUGGAACUGGGACACGGUCCAGACUCCUACGGGAGGGAGCAGUGGGGAACAUUGGACAAUGGGCGCAAGCCUGAUCCAGCCAUACCGCGUGGGUGAAGAAGGCCUUCGGGUUGUAAAGCCCUUUUGUUGGGAAAGAAAAGCAGCAGGUUAAUACCCCGCUGUUCUGACGGUACCCAAAGAAUAAGCACCGGCUAACUUCGUG
This 492-nucleotide ribosomal RNA is filed under the name uncultured bacterium. RNAcentral describes it as "partial 16S ribosomal RNA". It matches the Rfam family "Bacterial small subunit ribosomal RNA", at positions 29 to 507 of the family's 1533-position model. The record is from RNAcentral.